AUGAAGGCUUUCCUACUGUGGCUCAGCAGAGUCUCUUUAUUGAAUCCACAAGAGAAGAAAAACUUAGAUGGAGCAGGAAAAGGAAGGCAUCUUUUCCCCUGGGUACUGUACAUUUCCACUUUCGUGAGGCACUGCUCCAUCCUUUUUCUCACAGCCACCAACUCCUUUGUCGGAUAUAAAGUUGCAGCUGUAGCUAGCUCACAUCUGAGUGUGCUUUCAGUGGGCCCAGUCCUUUGUUUCUCUGGGAAGCCAAGCCCUUAAGUUUUUUUUCGUCUUGUCUCAGUGAGUAUUUUGCCUGGUUUAGGAAAGUAGGGUCAUUAAUUUCAUGGUUAGCAGCUCAUUUGUUUCAUUUCAAAAAUAAUAAAUAUCUGUCAUUGGUACUGCUGCA
Molecule: long non-coding RNA, 388 nt
Filed under: Struthio camelus australis
Lineage: Eukaryota; Metazoa; Chordata; Aves; Struthioniformes; Struthionidae
Description: lncRNA (ENSSCUG00000017190.1)
Source: RNAcentral